GACGAACGCUGGCGGCGUGCUUAAUACAUGCAAGUCGAACGAGAGCGACCGGUGCUUGCACUGGUCAAUCUAGUGGCGAACGGGUGAGUAACACGUGGGUAACCUGCCCAUCAGAGGGGGAUAACAUCCGGAAACGGAUGCUAAAACCGCAUAGGUCUUCGAACCGCAUGGUUUGAAGAGGAAAAGAGGCGCAAGCUUCUGCUGAUGGAUGGACCCGCGGUGCAUUAGCUAGUUGGUGAGGUAACGGCUCACCAAGGCCGUGAUGCAUAGCCGACCUGAGAGGGUGAUCGGCCACAUUGGGACUGAGACACGGCCCAAACUCCUACGGGAGGCAGCAGUAGGGAAUCUUCCGCAAUGGACGCAAGUCUGACGGAGCAACGCCGCGUGAGUGAAGAAGGUUUUCGGAUCGUAAAACUCUGUUGUUAGAGAAGAACAAGUGCUAGAGUAACUGUUAGCGCCUUGACGGUAUCUAACCAGAAAGCCACGGCUAACUACGUG
Molecule: ribosomal RNA, 498 nt
Filed under: uncultured bacterium
Lineage: Bacteria
Description: partial 16S ribosomal RNA
Rfam family: Bacterial small subunit ribosomal RNA
Source: RNAcentral